UACGUAGGGGGCAAGCGUUGUCCGGAAUCAUUGGGCGUAAAGCGCGUGUAGGCGGCUCGGUAAGUCUGCUCUGAAAGUCCAAGGCUCAACCUUGGGAUGCGGGUGGAUACUGCCGGGCUCGAGUCCGGAAGAGGCGAGUGGAAUUCCUGGUGUAGCGGUGAAAUGCGCAGAUAUCAGGAGGAACACCAAUGGCGGAGGCAGCUCGCUGGGACGUGACUGACGCUGAGACGCGAAAGCGUGGGGAGCAAACAGG
Molecule: ribosomal RNA, 253 nt
Filed under: uncultured bacterium
Lineage: Bacteria
Description: partial 16S ribosomal RNA
Rfam family: Bacterial small subunit ribosomal RNA
Source: RNAcentral